AUUUUUAAUUAAAUUCAUUAUACAGUAGAAAGCUAUUAGCAUAAUAUGUGACAAACUUCUAAUAUCUGGGUUGCCAGUUGGAAAUAGUGGCAAUUGUCUUUUCCAUGUGAUCUUUUUUCCUCUACUAUUUUAUUUUAAUUGUAAUAUAUACUCUGGAUUAGUGCGUUUUUUGACCCAUAUGGAUGAAGAAGAUCAAAGUGACAAAAAGGAGACUUCAGAACCUGAAUUUUCAAUAACAGAAAAUUAUUCUGGUCAGAAAACCUGUGUGUUUCCUACUGCCGAUUCAGCUGUCAGCCUUUCCAGUUCCAGUGAUCAGAAUACUACUUCUCCUGGUAUGAAUAGCAAUGAUGAAUUGUGUGAGAGUGUUUCAGUACAUCCGCUCCAGAUGACUGGAUUGACUGAUAUUGCAGACAUUAUUGAUGACCUUAUAAUUAAAGACGGAGUUUCCAGUGAAGAACUUGGCUUAACAGAACAAGCUAUGGGCACCUCCAGGUAAUCAUUGAAUAAUUC
RNAcentral lists this small RNA (510 nucleotides) under Pan troglodytes (chimpanzee). RNAcentral describes it as "retained intron". Lineage: Eukaryota; Metazoa; Chordata; Mammalia; Primates; Hominidae. The record is from RNAcentral.